AGUGAGCGCUGGCGGCAGGCCUAACACAUGCAAGUCGAACGGCAGCACAGUAAGAGCUUGCUCUUACGGGUGGCGAGUGGCGGACGGGUGAGGAAUACAUCGGAAUCUACUUUUUCGUGGGGGAUAACGUAGGGAAACUUACGCUAAUACCGCAUACGACCUACGGGUGAGAGCAGGGGAUCUUCGGACCUUGCGCGAUUGAAUGAGCCGAUGUCGGAUUAGCUAGUUGGCGGGGUAAAGGCCCACCAAGGCGACGAUCCGUAGCUGGUCUGAGAGGAUGAUCAGCCACACUGGAACUGAGACACGGUCCAGACUCCUACGGGAGGCAGCAGUGGGGAAUAUUGGACAAUGGGCGCAAGCCUGAUCCAGCCAUACCGCGUGGGUGAAGAAGGCCUUCGGGUUGUAAAGCCCUUUUGUUGGGAAAGAAAAGCAGCAGGUUAAUACCCCGCUGUUCUGACGGUACCCAAAGAAUAAGCACCGGCUAACUUCGUG
This 492-nucleotide ribosomal RNA is filed under the name uncultured bacterium. RNAcentral describes it as "partial 16S ribosomal RNA". It matches the Rfam family "Bacterial small subunit ribosomal RNA", at positions 29 to 507 of the family's 1533-position model. The record is from RNAcentral.